Molecule: ribosomal RNA, 497 nt
Filed under: uncultured bacterium
Lineage: Bacteria
Description: bacterial SSU rRNA
Rfam family: Bacterial small subunit ribosomal RNA
Source: RNAcentral
AACGAACGCUGGCGGCAUGCCUAACACAUGCAAGUCGAACGAUCCCUUCGGGGAUAGUGGCGCACGGGUGCGUAACGCGUGGGAAUCUGCCCUCAGGUACGGAAUAACUCAGGGAAACUUGAGCUAAUACCGUAUAAUGACUUCGGUCCAAAGAUUUAUCGCCUGGGGAUGAGCCCGCGUCGGAUUAGCUAGUUGGUGAGGUAAAAGCUCACCAAGGCGACGAUCCGUAGCUGGUCUGAGAGGAUGAUCAGCCACACUGGGACUGAGACACGGCCCAGACUCCUACGGGAGGCAGCAGUGGGGAAUAUUGGACAAUGGGCGCAAGCCUGAUCCAGCAAUGCCGCGUGAGUGAUGAAGGCCUUAGGGUUGUAAAGCUCUUUUACCCGGAAGAUAAUGACUGUACCGGGAGAAUAAGCCCCGGCUAACUCCGUGCCAGCAGCCGCGGUAAUACGGAGGGGCUAGCGUUGUUCGGAAUUACUGGGCGUAAAGCGCACGUA